CAGUAGCCGCGGUAAUACAGAGGGUGCGAGCGUUAAUCGGAUUUACUGGGCGUAAAGCGUGCGUAGGCGGCUUUUUAAGUCGGAUGUGAAAUCCCUGAGCUUAACUUAGGAAUUGCAUUCGAUACUGGGAAGCUAGAGUAUGGGAGAGGAUGGUAGAAUUCCAGGUGUAGCGGUGAAAUGCGUAGAGAUCUGGAGGAAUACCGAUGGCGAAGGCAGCCAUCUGGCCUAACACUGACGCUGAGGUACGAAAGCAUGGGGAGCAAACAGGAUUAGAUACCCCAUAGUCCCUGUCUCUUAUACA
This 301-nucleotide ribosomal RNA is filed under the name uncultured bacterium. Its description in RNAcentral is "partial 16S ribosomal RNA". It matches the Rfam family "Bacterial small subunit ribosomal RNA", at positions 509 to 808 of the family's 1533-position model. The record is from RNAcentral.